CCUACGGGGGACUGCAGUGAGGAAUAUUGGUCAAUGGACGAGAGUCUGAACCAGCCAAGUAGCGUGAAGGAUGACUGCCCUAUGGGUUGUAAACUUCUUGUAUAAAGGAAUAAAACGAGGCACGUGUGCCUUUUUGCAUGUACUUUAUGAAUAAGGAUCGGCUAACUCCGUGCCAGCAGCCGCGGUAAUACGGAGGAUCCGAGCGUUAUCCGGAUUUAUUGGGUUGAAAGCGAGCGUAGAUGGGUUGUUCAGUCAGUUGUGCAAGUUGGCGGCUCAACCGUAAAAUUGCUAUUGAUACUGGCAGUCUUGAGUACAGUUGAGGUCGGCGGCCUUCGUGGUGUAGCGGUGAAAUGCUUAGAUCUCCC
RNAcentral lists this ribosomal RNA (365 nucleotides) under uncultured bacterium. RNAcentral describes it as "partial 16S ribosomal RNA". It matches the Rfam family "Bacterial small subunit ribosomal RNA", at positions 338 to 700 of the family's 1533-position model. The record is from RNAcentral.